CCUCUUCCAGGAGGGGAAGGUGCGGGUGCCCAUUGUUGUCAUGGAAUGGGAACUCACCCAUCACAAUGGGCGAAGGAGUCUUCUAAGCCCUCUGAGGAUUCUUGCCACUGGUUCCUUGCAGCUGUGACUCCCCGGGGUAAGAGGUAAAGAGCCACCAGGUCCCAGCUGAGGAAGCCCUGUGGUCAGCUCAGACAGGGAUGCGGACUGAAGCUGAAGCAGGUGUUAGUAAUUGUCGUACCUACAGACGAGGAAACUGAGUCUCCAUGAAGUGAAGUGACUCACCCACAGUCACACAGCUAAUAUAUGGCAGAGCCCACAGCAGAACCCAGACAUACUAAGGCCAAGUUCAAUGCCAGCAUAAAACAGAGCCUGCUGAAAUGCCUAGCGCUUCAACAAGGUGAACUCUUGUAGGCCAGGGGCCAAAUGACGGACAUCAUGUGCCACCAACACCACACAGAUGAAGGUGGUCGGCCAGGGCAGAGUUCUGGUUCUCCUGCACCCUAAGAUGAAAGCUAAAGUCAGAAAGGAGGGAGGAAGACAACGACGACAUUUAAAACCUAAAAACAGUGGCCAUUUCCAACUCAGUAUUUCACACGCAUUCACUUUGUCUCCACCGAUGGAGCAGAAAAUCCCUUAGAACUGAAACUUCAUUUUCAAAUAUAUUUCGCGUCUCCUCUGUAUGUAGUCUUAUGCUCUGUUAAACAAGGUAUAUGACCACUGGUUAACGUAUGUUCCAAUUUUCUCCUUUUGAAUGAUUGUUUAAAAUUCUAACAAAUUUGUCCAAGAAAAUCAAAACUGAAUAAAGAAACCUGGCCAGA
Pongo pygmaeus (Bornean orangutan) is the source of this 818-nucleotide long non-coding RNA. RefSeq lists it as uncharacterized. NCBI's taxonomy places the organism in Eukaryota, Metazoa, Chordata, Mammalia, Primates, Hominidae. The transcript has 3 exons. The record is from RefSeq and is a predicted model, not a curated record.